Molecule: long non-coding RNA, 1160 nt
Organism: Pseudophryne corroboree (corroboree frog)
Lineage: Eukaryota; Metazoa; Chordata; Amphibia; Anura; Myobatrachidae
Exons: 3
Source: RefSeq, a predicted model, not a curated record
CAAGGUAUCACAUAAGAAACAUCUCAUGAUGGUUAAAAGCAAAGAGCUCUCUCAAGACCUUUAUUGCAAAAUAUACUGAUGGCAUUGGUUACAGAAAGAUUUCUAAACUUCUGAAUGUUCCAGUGAGCAAUGUUGGGGCCAUAAUCCGGAAGUGGAAAGAUCAUCCUUUCACCAUAAACUGGUUACGAAUAGGUGUUCCUCGCAAGAUUUCUGACAGAGGAGUGAAAAUAAUUAUCAGAAGAGUUAUCCAAGUCAGAGCCAAGGACCACUUGUGUAGAGCUUCAGAAAGACCUGGAAUUAGCAGAUUCCUCAAAGUAGCCCCCUUUUGCUUUAAUGACCCCUGGAGAGGAGAGUUUGCAGAGGGACGCACACUUUGGAGGCCGAAAAGCAUCUAAAAUGGGGGUUUUGAUGGAGCAUAUUGUGCUUGCGUCUGUGACAGACGGAGACUACAGAGGAUUGGUGAGGAACGCAGAGAAGAUCGUUGGAGCCGUUCUCCCCUCUAUUCAGGACCUCUACCUGUCCAGAGUCAAGAAGCGUGCAGGAAAUAUUGUGGCAGACUAGUUGCACCCUGGUCACGUCCUGUUUGAAACACUUCCAUCAGCAGGCGUUAUAGGUCCAUACUCGCCAAGUUGACCAGAACCAAAAAAAGCUUCUUUCCACUAGCUGUCCACUUACUAAAUUAUGCCUAACAAGUCUUCUGCAAUGAACUGCUAUGUAAUUGUAAACAGUAUUUUAUACUAAUGUAUGUUAUGUGUGUUUUUGUUAUGCCUUUUCCUUUUAUGUUAUUUGGCGAAGCAUUGUAAACCGCAAACAAUUCCUAGUACACGUGAGUAUACAUGGCCAAUAAAGUCAAUUCUGAUUCUGUUGUGGGAUCAAUGGCCUGUUUUUUUUUUAAAUUUAACUUACCUGUAUCUCCGGACCGCGUGCUCUGGUUAUACACCACAUUAUGUGUAACAUUUGGUGUUACUGCCAUUUCUCGAAUGCCAGUAGGUGACCAGUUUAUUAAAGCAUCAUGACAUCCAGAAUCCAUUUCUGAAUUAGUACAGUAAGUGAGUGCAUUGUACAUAAAAGAAUGAUCUUGAAAAUCAUAAAAUACAUUUUAUUAUUAAUAAAAUAUUCAAACUCGUAAAUUUUAUGUUGGAAAAUGCUCAUAACCUUUC